GGCGAGGUUGUCGAUGCGUUCACUCAUUGCUUGUUGCUCUUGAUGCAAAGCACGUUGUGCACCAAAGAGGUGGCUCUUGGUGACGUAGGAGUUCAUGUCAUCGUCGUGCUCAAUGAAGAGUGGGUUGGUAGAGGUACUUGUCCUAUCCAUCAUUCCAAGAGAAAAAUGUGAGUGGAAGAAUAGAAGAACGAAUACCAAAUGUACCUUGACCGAAGUUGAAAGUGGAUCAAUAAUCACUCCAAUGUGGACAAGGAAAUAGCACACUUGGUACCAAUUCUUGUCGGUUUCUCACACCUACACAAGUAAAAGCUUAUGGUGGAGCUUGGUUAGGAUGGUGGCACAAAAUUUAAUGCAAUUGUAAGUGAGCUUCAAUAAUGUUGGAGAAGAUUCGCAAGAUUGCAAUGCAACAAGUAGACUAAGCAAUAUAAGGUACACGGAAACACACACGCAAAAAGAUAAGUGGGGUCGUGCAACCAAGGAUGAGCCAAAAUGUGGAAUCCACAAAAAUGCUCUUGUUGCACAACACUAGAGAGACGCUAGCACGAUUGCACAAUAGGCGGAUACAAAGACUUGUGCACAACCUAUUCAGAAAAAAUGCAACGACUUCUAUCCCAAAUAUGCUCUAUGCAAGGUGUUUCUGUGCGAUGAUCCAAGAUGAUCUGGUAUGACAAUCUUAAUGUUGUAUGAUGCUAUGGUUCUUGCCUAAAAGCUCUUUGUUUAUAUUUCCCUUUUGCUUAAAAGCUUGUUUGGCUCUUUGUUGUUUGAGCUAUUUUCUCAUGCAAUGCUUCAUGAACCAAGACAACAAUUUUGUAUGCGAUGACAACCUUGUGACACAAGAGAUGAUACCAAGAUAUGCAACAAUUAUGUAUGUAUGCUAUGGGAAGUAUGAUCACUAAUGUGCACAAGUCUCAUUGCCGGCAAUACUCAACGGCUAGUCUCGAUGGGUAAGCGAUGCAGAGGAGUAAGGCUAUGAUGGCUAUCAAUGUAAUGGCAAGAAUGAUAUGUCCAAUACCAAGGUGAGGUUACCGUUCCGUUGGUUCCUCGUCCGUAAGCAAAACGGAUGACGAUGAUCCAAUGAGCGUCACGAAUACCAAGAUGUAGUCGAGGUAAUCGUUGUUGAUGACGCGUCCGUGGCGAAGAUGAGCGGCGGUUAUGUUGAUGUCGUACCGUACCUAAAUAGAUGAAACACAAGUAGGACACGGAACCGCAACUCAAAUUCUCAAAGCAAAAUUGGACCAAAAUUGUUAGAGUUGGUGUUGGGAAGCAGUGGUUGUGUAUGUGGUAUAUGGUGGUGCUAUGCGGAAGUGGUGGUGGUAUGCGGAAGUAUAUGUGGGCACGGGAACAAAAUUUGGCGAAAUAUGGACGCAAAACGGGCGGUGGAGAGGAAGAGAUGCUGCCAGGGGCCGGAUGUCCGGGCUUGAUGGCCGGAUGUCCGGGGUGCCGGAUGCGGGGUAUCGGGCCGGAUGUCCAGGCUCUGGAUCCGAGGAUGAACGGGAUGAACACCGCGUGGAGAUGUCAAAUCCGGGCAAUAUUCGGAGAAAUUUGUGGAUGGAAAUUGGGGGAAAAUGGAUGGAAGGAUAGAUCUACCUGCAACACACGAAAUUCGCAGAUCAAAUCCAACAAAACUUCAUCACACCAACAAAUCACAAAAAAAAUUGGGGGCUAUUUUUGUGGUGAAUUUUCAAAUUAGGGACAAAAUCAACAAAAACAAGGCUAGCAACACAACGGGGAGGCUCCAAAAUCGUGAUCAACGUGGCUCUAGAUACCAAGAUGAUGUAGGGUAGAACCCUAAUCGGUCGAUCUUUCACGAAAGGAGCGGAUCCCGCGAUGAACACGAAGAAUACAAGGGGGAAAACGAGGGGAAACACGAGAGGAAACACGAGAAAAUCUCUAAACCAAAACGAAAUAGUCACACAUGUGCUAGAUCCUCGAGUACAUAAGAGAUCACACGAUCCACGGACAACUAAGGACGAUACAAAGGUAGCCGGUCUUCACCGUGAGGAGGUCUUGAAGUUCUUCUCCGCAAGGAGGUCUCGAAUCCAAAGGGAUCUUCUCCGAAGAGGGGCCGCGGUCUCUCUCGUGGAGUAGAUCCAAUGUGGAUGAGCAAUGCUCUAUCUCUAAAUAUGAGCUUAAUCAAUGCUAACCCUAGAAAGAGGAACGCGGAGGAGUAUAUAUAGUCUAGGGGUUGAAGGGUACACGGGCCUCGGCCCUUCACUGUGCGCAGAUAGGGGAGGCCGGACGUCCGGGCGUCGGGCCAUAUGUCCGGGCUUCCACGCGAGGCCGGAUGUCCGGGCUGGAGAGGCCGGAUGUCCGGGCUGGAGCGGCUGGCUUCGUCGCUCUCGGGUUCGGAGGGGUCCAGAUUUCUGGGCUGGAGGCCGGAUAUCCAGGAGCUCGGGAAGGGCCGGAUGUCCGGGCUGUCGGGGUCGGAUGCCCGAGGCAUGUAGAUGCUUGGCGGCUAUGCAGCUUGAUGAUGGACGACGCUCCAGCCGACAGACGUCCGGGGUUGUGGCCGGAUGUCCGGGUCCUGGGAGGUGUUCUUGACUCCUUCCGUGGGUUCCCUUCAUCCAUGAACUUGGGGGCUUGUACACCUUCACGUGCAUCUACGGGAGGGUCCUCUUGGUACCUAAUCAUGCACAACGUCUCGGAUUCAGGUAGUAGCCAUGUCUCAAGAGGAUCAUAUGUAAUAUCACUAAGGAAGGAAGUCACCUCGUUCUCGAGAGCUCUAGCUCUAGCUCGUGUCAUGGGUCCUCUUGGCUCUUGUUGAGGCGAUGGUAGGUCCAUGGGGAUGACCGUAGGAUGCUUCGCAUCAACCGCGAAGAAACCAAAGAAAUACAAAGGCUAGUCCAACAUCUCAUAGACCAUGGACAUGUGUGUGAAAGUUUGAGUCCUUGUGUCGUGCCGGUCAUUCUUGUGCCAAAAAGAAAUGGUAGUUUUCGCAUGUGUUCCGAUUGUAGACCCAUCAAUGCUAUCACCAUUAGAUAUAGGCAUGCUAUUCCUUGCCUUGAUGAUAUGCUCGAUGAUCUUAGCGGUGCCACCAUUUUCUCAAAAUUGAUCUUAAAAGUGGUUAUUAUCAAAUAAGCAUACAUGAAGUUGAUGAAUGGAAAACCGUUUUCAAAACAAAAUUUGGUUUGUACGAGUGGCUAGUUAUGCCUAUGGGUUUAUCGGAAGCACCAUGUACUUUCAUGUGUGUUAUGCAUUAUGUGCUUCGACCUUACAUUGGUGUGUUUGUUGUGGUCUACUUUGACGAUACUCUUGUGUUUAGUAAAUCCCUAAAAGAGCACUUAGAUCAUCUUAGGGCCGUUUUGCAAACUCUUAGAAAAGAGCGCCUUUAAGCCAAUAUGGAAAAGUGCACUUUUGGUGUUGACAAGAUUGUUUUCUUGGGCUUUGUUGUCUCUUCCAAAGUUGAAGCAAUUAAAACUUGGCCACAACCUACUAAUUUGUAACAAGUGCGUAGUUUCCUUGGUAUAGCGGGUUUUUAUCGUCGUUUUGUGAAAGACUUUAGCACUAUUGCCGCACGGUUGCCAACUUUGAGUAAGAAGAACGCACCCUUUGUUUGGGCUCCAUCUCAAUCUACCGCAUUUGAUGAGCUCAAAUCUUUGCUUUCACAUGCCCCAAUUCUUGCAUUGCCUAAUUUCAACAAAACUUUGGAGGUUAAUUGUGAUGCUAGCGGUAAUGUAAUUGGUGGAGUUUUGAUGCAAGAAAAGCGACCCAUUGCAUACUUUAGUGAAAAACUUUACGGUGCUCAACUUAACUAUCCCAUAUAUGACAAAUAAUUGUAUGAUUUAGUGCGAGUAUUGCAUGUUUGGGAGCAUUAUCUCCGCCCACAUGAAUUUGUCAUACACACCGAUCAUGAGACACUGAAGUACCUUAAAGGUCAAACCAACUUGAAUAAACGGGAUGCUAAAUGGAGUGAAUUUAUUAAAUCUUUUCCUUAUGUGAUCAAGUACAUUAAGGGUAAAAAAAUGUUGUCGCGGAUGCUCUUUCAUGCAAAUUCAUGUUAGUUAGUAAACUUGAGUUGAAUGCUAUUGGCUUUGAGCAUGUUAAAGAUCUUUAGGCACUUGAUCCUACGUUUGCGAUUCCUUAUGCCAAAUGUCUUGCUAACACUUGUUGAGAGAACUAUUAUCUCAAGAAUGGCUACCUUAUGCUCACUAACAAGCUUUGUAUACCCGAGUCUUCGCUUCGUUUGCUACUUUUGCAAGAGGCCCAUGACGGAGGACUUAUGGACAUUUCGAGCGCGACAAGACCUUUGCCACACUCUCCUUCAAGUAAUUUUGGCCAAAAAUGUUCCGCGAUGUGGCACGCUUCACCAAGAAAUGCUCUACAUGCCGCAAAGCUAAGUCACUAUCUCAAUCUCAUGGUUUACAUAUGCCACUACCAAUUCCGUAUCAACCAUGGGAAGAUAUUAGUAUGGAUUUUAUGUUUGGUUUUCCUAGGACUCAAAAUGAAAAGGAUUCCAUAUUUGUUGUUGUGGACCGAUUCUCAAAAAUGACCCAUUUCAUCCCAUGCAAUAAGAUAAACGAUGCUUCACAUGUUGCAAACCUCUUUUGUAGGGAAAUCUUGAGGUCACAUGGAGUGCCAAGGAUCAUUGUGUCGGACCGCGACGUCAAGUUCCUAAGCUACUUUUGGAAGACAAUAUGCGCCAAGAUCGGCAUCAAGCUACUAUUCUUGACGGCCUAUCAUCCCUAAACCGAUGGCCAAACGGAAGUCAACAACCAGACGCUAUCUACUCUUCUAUGUGUGUUGAUAAAGAAGAAUGCCAAGGAGUGGGAGGAAUGCUUACCCAUCACCGAAUACGCCUACAAUCGAGCUCGACACUCUACUACCGGCAAGUCCCCCUUAGAGGUUGUGUACGGCUUCAACCCAUUGUCCCCAUUGGACAUUCUACCUCUUCCACUCCAAGAAUGUGCAAACAUUGAUGCAUGUGCAAGGGCAAGCUUUCCCAAGAAGAUACAUGAAGAUACAUGGACAACGAUCGAGCGUCAAGUACAUCGCAUCGCCACCAAGCUCAACACCAACAAGACACAAAUGGUGUUCCAAUCGGGAGAUCUCGCAUGACUUCAUCUUCGCAAGAACCGCUUCCCCAACGAGCACAAGUCCAAGCUACUACCACCAGCUAAUGGACCCUUUAAGGUGCUAGCACGCUACAACGAGAACGCUGAUACGUCUCCAACAUAUCCAUAAUUUUUGAUUGUUCCAUGCUAUAUUAUAUUCUGUUUUGGACAUUAUUGGGCUUUAUUAUACACUUUUAUAUUAUUUUUGGGACUAACCUAUUAACCGGAGGCGCAGCCCAGAAUUGCUAUUUUUGCCUAUUUCAGAGUUUCGCAGAAAAAUAAUAUUAAACGGAGUCCAAACGGAAUGAAACUUUCGGGAACGUGAUUUUCGGAACAAACGUGAUCCAGAGGACUUGGACCCUACGUCAAGAAAGCAACCAGGAAGGCACGAGGUAGGGGGUGCACCUACCCCCUAGGCGCGCCCUCCACCCUCGUGGGGCCCAUGUUGCUCCACUGACGUACUUCUUCCUCCUAUAUAUACCUACAUACCCCCAAAUUACCAGAUACGGAGCCAAAACCCUAAUUCCAUCGCCGCAACCUUUUGUACCCGUGAGAUCCCAUCUUGGGGCCUUUUCCGGAGCUCCGCCAGAGGGGGCAUCGAUCACGGAGGGCUUCUACAUCAACAACAUAGCCUCUCCAAUGAUGUGUGAGUAGUUUAUUUCAGACCUUCGGGUCCAUAGUUAUUAUCUAGAUGGCUUCUUCUCUCUUUUUGGAUCUCAAUACAAUGUUCUCCCCCUCUCUUGUGGAGAUCUAUUCGAUGUAAUCUUCUUUUGCGGUGUGUUUGCCGAGACCGAUGAAUUGCGGGUUUAUGAUCAAGUUUAUCUAUAAACAAUAUUUGAAUCAUCUCUGAAUUCUUUUAUGUAUGAUUGGUUAUCUUUGCAAGUCUCUUGGAAUUAUCAGUUUGGUUUGGCCUACUAGAUUGAUCUUUCUUGCAAUGGGAGAAGUUCUUAGCUUUGGGUUCAAUCUUGCGGUGUCCUUUCCCAGUUUCAGUAGGGGCAGCAAGGCAUGUAUUGUACUGUUGCCAUCGAGGAUAACAAGAUGGGGUUUAUAUCAUAUUUCAUGAGUUUAUCCCUCUACAUCAUGUCAUAUUGCUUAAAGCGUUACUUUGUUCUUUUGAACUUAAUACUCUAGAUGCAUGCUGGAUAGUGGUCGAUGUGUGGAGUAAUAGUAGUAGAUGCAGGCAGGAGUCGGUCUAUUUGUCUCGGGCAUGAUGCCUAUAUACAUGAUCAUACCUAGAUAUUCUCAUAACUAUGCUCAAUUCUGUCAAUUGCUCAACAGUAAUUUGUUUACCCACCAUAAUACUUAUGCUCUCGAGAGAAGCCACUAGUGAAACCUAUGGCCCCGGGGUCUAUUCUCGAUCAUAUUAAUCUUCCAUCAACAAGCUAUUUCUUUUCCGUUUUUAUUUUGCUUUAUUUACUUUCCAUCUUUAUCAUAAAAAAUACCAAACAUAUUAUCUUAUCAUAUCUAUCAGAUCUCACUUUCGUAAGUGACUGUGAAGUGAUUGACAACCCCUUUUAUUGCGUUGGUUGCGAGGAUUUUAUUUGUUUGUGUAGGUGCGAGGGACUCGCGCGUGGCCUCCUGCUGGAUUAAUACCUUGGUUCUCAAAAGCUGAGGGAAAUACUUACGCUACUUUGCUGCAUCACCCUUUCCUCUUCAAGGGAAAACCAAUGCAGUGCUCAAGAGGUAGCAAGAAGGAUUUCUGGCGCCGUUGCCGGGGAGUCUACGCAAAAGUCAACAUACUAAGUACCCAUCACAAACCCUUAUCUCCCGCAUUACAUUAUUUGCCAUUUGCCUCUCGUUUUCCUCUCCCCCACUUCACCCUUGCCGUUUUAUUUGCCCUCUCUCUCCGUCCUCCUUCUCUUUCCCUAUUUGCCUCUUUUUUGCCCGUUUCUUGCUUGCUUGUCAUUAUGGCUAGUCCCCUAUCUUCUCCGUUGUCUCCUGAAAAUGAAGUUCUUAAUUUUAAGCAAAGGGAAAGAUAAAAUCUAAAAGAUGAUUGGUAUAGAAUUUGCAAUGCUCAAAAUAGAUCUACCAGGAAGCAAUCCACUUCCAUUCUUCUUCGCAAUUUUGAUGUAGGCGCUACUCCUUGGCACAGAUAUAUCCUUGAUACCAUUACCGGAGGGUAUUUCUUGGGUAGCCAUACUUUUGAUUGUUAUAAUGCUAUGAUAGAUUUGUUUGGCUCACACCCUCUUUUGGUUAAUGGAACUAUGUUAACUUUGGAGCAUGUAAUGUAAAGACUUGAAAUUAUUGAAAAUAAAGUUGCUACCGUAGAGUUAAUUGAAAAUUUGGAUAAAAAGAUCCACAACCAAAUUACUCAAUAUGGAUCUAAAGUAGGAGUCACUUUGAAAAAUAUUAAGGAGAAGGAACCCAUAGUUAAUGAAAGAAUAAAUCAGGAUUCAACUAGAAUCGAUAAACUUGAGGGUAUCAUUACCAACUUGGGAACCGCUUUUUCUUCCGUAAAAAAUACUCCAAGUCCUCCAACUAAAAUUGCCAAGCUUAUGUAUGUUCCUAAAAAUAAGGGUGAAUCCUCUAGCAAGGAAACUGCGGAUCUCAAAUCUAUAAGUAUUCAUCCCAAUCUUUUUGCUAUCAUUAAGGAACCAUUUGCUACGAAUGAUUUUUUCGAUUUUGAGACUAGAAGUUUGAUAAUUAAUAAAAAGAAAGAAACUCCUAAGGAUGAUAGAUGUCUCAUUAAAGAAUUGCCAACUAAAGCUGGCAAUACCUAGAUCUAUCUUCGCUUUUAUGCCUAGCUAGGGGCGUUAAACGAUAGCGCUUGUUGGGAGGCAACCCAAUUUUAUUUUUAUUCCUUGCUUUUUGCUCCUGUUUAGUAAUAAAUAAUUUAUCUAGCCUCUUUUUUGGUUGUGUUUUUUGUGUUUAAUUAGUGUUUGUGCCAAGUAGAACCGUUGGGAAGACUUGGGGAAAGUCUUUUUAAUCUUGCUGUAAAAAACAGAAACUUUAGCGCUCACGGGAAUUGCUGCCAUUUUUAUUUGGAAAGUGAUAUUUAGUUAAUUAUUUUUGAAUAUGAUUAAUAGAUAAAUUACUCACGUCCAGCAAUUUAUUUUAGAAUUUUUAGGGUUCCAGAAGUUUGCUUUAGAUACAGAUUACUACAGACUGUUCUGUUUUUGACAUAUUCUGUUUUUCGUGUGUUGUUUGCCUAUUUUGAUGAAUCUAUGGCUAGUAAAAUAGUUUAUAAACCAUAGAGAAGUUGGAAUACAGUAUGUUUAACACAAAUAUAAAUAAAUAAUGAGUUCAUUAUAGUACAUUGAAGUGGUGUUUUGUUUUCUUUCGCUAACGGAGCUCACGAGAUUUUCUACUUUGAGUUUUGUGUUGUGAAGUUCUCGAGUUUUGGGUAAAAUAUUUGAUGGAUUAUGAAACAAGGAGUGUCAAGAGCCUAAUCUUGGGGAUGCCCAUGGCACCCCAAUAUAAUCUAAGGACACCUAAAAGCCAAAGCUUGGGUAUGCCCCGGAAGGCAUCCCCUCUUUCGUCUACUUUCAUCGGUAACUUUACUUGGAGCUAUAUUUUUAUUCACCACAUGAUAUGUGUUUUGCUUGGAGUGUCUUGUAUUAUUUGAAUAUUUAUUUGUUAGUUUGCUAUAAUAAUCUUUGCUAUACACACCUUUUGAUAGAAACACACAUGAUUUGAAAAUUAUUAAAAUACUCUAUGUGCUUCACUUAUAUCUUUUGAGUUAUAUAGUUUCUGCUCUAGUACUUCACUUAUAUAUUUUAGAGCACGGUGGUGGAUUUGUUUUAUAGAAAAUAUUAUUCUCUCAUUCUUCACUUAUAUUAUUUUGAGAGUCUUAAACAGCAUGGUAAUUUACUUAAACUAGGAAAUUAAUCCUAAUAUGCUAGGCAUUCAAGACUAGUAAAAAAUAUUUAUGAGUGUGCUGAAUACUAAGAGAAGUUUAAUACUCGAUAAUUGUUUUGAGAUAUGGAGAUGGUGAUAUUAGAGUCAUGCUAGUUGAGUAGUUGUGAAUUUUAGAAAUACUUGUGUUGAAGUUUGUGAUUCCCGUAGCAUGCACGUAUGGUGAACUGUUAUGUGAUGAAGUCGGAGCAUGAUUUAUUUAUUGAUUGUCUUCCUUAUGAGUGGCGGUCGGGGAUGAGCGAUGGUCUUUUCUUACCAAUCUAUCCCCCUAGGAGCAUGCGCGUAAUACUUUGCUUUGAUAACUAAUAGAUUUUUGCUAUAAGUAUGUGAGUUCUUUAUGACUAAUGUUGAGUCCAUGGAUCAUAUGCACUCUCACCCUUCCACCAUUACUAGCCUCCCUAAUACCGCGCACUUUUCGCCGGUAUCAUACACCCACCAUAUACCUUCCACAAAACAGCCACCAUACCUACCUAUCAUGGCAUUUCCAUAGCCAUUGUGAGAUAUAUUGCCAUGCAACUUACCACCAUUCCGUUUAUUAUGACACGCUCCAUCAUCGUCAUAUUGCUUUGCAUGAUCAUGUAGUUGACAUUGUAUUUGUGGCAAAGCCACCGUUCAUAAUUCUUUCAUAUAUGUCACUCUUGAUUCAUUGCACAUCCCGGUACACCGCCGGAGGCAUUCACAUAGAGUCCUAUUUUGUUCUAAGUAUCGAGUUGUAAGUAAAUAAAAGUGUGAUGAUCAUCAUUUUUAGAGCAUUGUCCCAAGUGAGGAAAGGAUGAUGGAAACUACGAUUCCCCGACAAGUAGGGAUGAGACUCCGGACUAAAUAAAAAAAGAGGCCAUAAAAGAAGAGAAAAGGCCCAAAUAAAAAAUGAGAGAAAAAGAGAGAAAAAUAGAGAAGGGACAAUGCUACUAUCCUUUUACCACACUUGUGCUUCAAAGUAGCACCAUGAUCUUCAUGAUAGAGAGUCUCCUAUGAUAUCACUUUCAUAUACUAGUGGGAAUUUUUCAUUAUAGAACUUGGCUUGUAUAUUCCAAUGAUGGGCUUCCUCAAAAUGCCCUAGGUCUUCGUGAGCAAGCGAGUUGGAUGCACACCCACUUAGUUCCUUUUGUUGAGCUUUCAUAUAUUUAUAGCUCUAGUGCAUCCGUUGCAUGGCAAUCCCUACUCACUCACAUUAAUAUCUAUUAAUGGGCAUCUCCAUAGCCCGUUGAUACGCCUAGUUGAUGUGAGACUAUCUUCUCCCUUUUUGUCUUCUCCACAACCACCAUUCUAUUCCACAUAUAGUGAUAUGCCCAUGGCUCAUGCUCAUGUAUUGCGUGAAGAUUGAAAAAGUUUGAGAACACCAAAAGUAUGUAACAAUUGCUUGGCUUGUCAUCGGGGUUGUGCAUGAUUUAAAUACUUUGUCUGGUGAAAAUAGAGCAUAGACAGACUAUAUGAUUUUGUAGGGAUAACUUUCUUCGGCCAUGUUAUUUUGAGAAGACACAAUUGCUUAGUUAGUAUGCUUGAAGUAUUAUUAUUUUUAUGUCAAUAGUAAACUUUUGUCUUGAAUCUUUCGGAUCUGAAUAUUCAUACCAAAAUUAAGAAAAUUACACUGAAAUUAUGCCAAGUAGCAUUCCACAUCAAAAAUUCUGUUUUUAUCAUUUACCUAUUGGAGGACGAGCAGGAAUUAAGCUUGGAGAUGCUUGAUACGUCUCCAACGUAUCUAUAAUUUUUUAUUGUUCCAUGCUAUAUUAUAUUCUGUUUUGGACAUUAUUGGGCUUUAUUAUACACUUUGAUAUUAUUUUUGGGACUAACCUAUUAACCGGAGGCCCAACCCAUAAUUGUUGUUUUUGACUAUUUCAGAGUUUUGGAGAAAAAGAAUAUCAAACGGAGUGCAAACGGAAUGAAACCUUCAGGAAUGUGAUUUUUGGAACGAACGUGAUCCAAAGGACUUGGACCCUAUGUCAACAAAGCAACCAGGAAGGCACAAGGUAGGGGGGCGCGCCUACCCCCCAGGCGCGCCCUCCACCCUCGUGGGGCCCACAUUGAUCUACCAAUGUACUUCUUCCUCCUAUAUAUACCUACGUACCCCCAAAUUACCAGAUACGGAGCCAAAACCCUAAUUCCACCGCCGCAACCUUCUGUACCCAUGAGAUCCCAUCUUGGGGCCUUUUCCGGAGCUCCGCCGGAGGGGGCAUCGAUCACAGAGGGCUUCUACAUCAACAUCAUAGCCUCUCCGAUGAUGUGUGAGUAGUUUAUUUCGGACCUUCGGGUACAUAGUUAUUAGCUAGAUGGCUUCUCCUGUCUUUUUGGAUCUCAAUACAAUGUUCUCCCCCUCUCUUGUGGAGAUCUAUUCGAUGUAAUCUUCUUUUGUGGUGUGUUUGUUGAGACCGAUGAAUUGUGGGUUUAUGAUCAAGUUUAUCUAUGAAUAAUAUUUGAAUCUUCUCUGAAUUCUUUUAUGUAUGAUUGGUUAUCCUUGCAAGUCUCUUCAAAUUAUCAGUUUGGUUUGGCCUACUAGAUUGAUCUUUCUUGCAAUGGGAGAAGUGCUUAGCUUUGGUUUCAAUCUUGCGGUGUCCUUUCCCAGUGACAGUAGGGGCAGCAAGGCACGUAUUGUAUUGUUGCCAUCGAGGAUAACAAGAUGGGGUUUAUAUCAUAUUGCAUGAGUUUAUCCUUGUACAUCAUGUCAUCUUGCUUAAAGCGUUACUCUGUUCUUUUGAACUUAAUACUCUAGAUGCAUCCUGGAUAGCGGUCGAUGUGUGGAGUAAUAGUAGUAGAUGCAGGCAGGAGUGGGUCUACUUGUCUCGGACGUGAUGCCUAUAUACAUGAUCAUACCUAGAUAUUCUCAUAACUAUGUUCAAUUCUGUCAAUUGCUCAAUAGUAAUUUGUUUACCCACCGUAAUACUUAUGCUCUCGAGAGAAGCCACUAGUGAAACCUAUGGCCCCCGGGUCUAUUUUCCAUCAUAUUAAUCUUCCAUCAACAAGCUAUUUCUUUGCCGUUUUUAUUUUGCUUUAUGUACUUUGCAUCUUUAUCAUAAAAAUACCAAAAAUAUUAUCUUAUCAUAUCUAUCAGAUCUCACUUUCGUAAGUGACCGUGAAGGGAUUGACAACCCCUUUAUUGCGUUGGUUGCGAGGAUUUUAUUUUUUUGUGUAGGUGCAAGGGACUCACGCGUGGCCUCCUACUGGAUUGAUACCUUGGUUCUCGAAAACUGAGGGAAAUACUUACACUACUUUGCUGCAUCACCCUUUACUCUUCAAGGGAAAACCAAAGCAUUGCUCAAGAGGUAGCAAACGCCUACAAGAUCGACAUCCCACGACACAAGUACAACGUAAGCGACAUCUUCAAUGUCAAGGACUUGGCGAAGUACCAUGGUGAUGAAGAUCACGAUCCGCGGACGGAUCUCUACCAGGAGGGGGGGGGAUGAUGCGGAGCAUCCUUCCAUCAUUCCCAUGGACUCUACACCAACACACCAAGCACCACGUGGGCCUAUGACAAGAGCUCGAGCACGCGCAAUGAAAACUGAGGUGAACUCCUUCCUACUUGACAUGCAUAUGUACACGAAUGGGACUUUGUUGCUACCUCACCAAAAUGCACUAUGUAUCAUUAGGUACGAAGAGGAACAUUCCCAAGCAGCUAAGGAGCAUCACCAAGGAGUAGGAGAAGCAACCCAAGGACUUGAGGAAGAAGAAGGAAGCACAAAGGAGCAGGACAGAAGUCCUAGGCGACCCCGUGUGCACGGCCCCCCGAGACCCCGUGCCCACGGGCUACACAGUGAGCUACGGUUGUAGCACCCCGUGCGCUUGGGCGUGUACCGUGUGCACGGGACCCCCAUGCGCACGGGCCCAACUUACCCCGUGCGCUCGAGCCCUACAGGAUGGCCGACUAAGUUCGGGUUUUGGGCCUCCACUUCAUCCUCCUUGCCCCAAGCCUAUAUAUUCCAUACCUAGGGUUAUGUUUAGGGUUAGCAAAGACAUAUGUGAGAUAUUUGAGAGAUUUGCUCCUUCUACCACUCCAUUGGAGAUCAAGGCCUCUUAGGAGAGGAUCCACUUGUGGAUUUCAAGACCUCCUCUUGGAGAAGACUAUCAUCAUCAAGACCUCAUCUCUUAGGAGUGGGAAGAACUUUACCUAGUGCGUGUUUCCUUUGAUUGUUCAUGUACUCUCGUGGAUCUAUGUGUUUGCUAUUCUAAUGGAUGUGUGAUUGGGUUUUGUUGGAGUGAAUUCCUCUUUGUGUUCUCGGUAUUCAUCCCUCUUUCCCCUCCAAGUCUGAAAAUAUCCAUCUUAGGGUUUCACCCUACAACAAUACGUUUCCUCCUAGUGACGCACGUUGCCGGAAGGCCUAGAAUAAAUCUCGUAAAAUGCGAGCACCAACGUAAGUCUAAAACUUGAACUCUGUUGGGUUAGUUAUAUCACUGUCCUCCUAACCAUCCAACUACAUGUUGGUUCGCCAUAAAUCCUCUUUUUAUCUAUAUGAAAUGACAGUGAUGUCGUCUAACAAAAGAUGCUAGCUCAAGUGAAGUGCAUGAACAUGCUCUCAAAAUUAAUGGCACAUUUAUAUAUUUAUAUCAAUGGCUCUUUACCUUUAUUUCUACAAGUCUUAAAUUAUCACAAAUAAUAAGUACAAUACGUGUGGCACAAUGCACUCCAGCCCUGACCUUUUUUACAACUAAAGUUGCCAUCUGAAAAAAAACUUACCAUCCGAAAAAAAGUUGUCAUGCUUGACUAUUAAAAUUGUCAUACUUGCAUCACUAAGUUUGCCAUGAAAAACGUUCGGAGUUGCCAUGUGUUUGUACCACACAUGUGACACUUAUCAUUGUCCUAAAUUAUUUGUCUGUUAAUUUAUAAUACAUACUGUAAAAUUUCCGGACAAUUCAAAUCAAAAGGAAGGUAAAACGAAGAAAGUGUCAACAAAGAAUUUUGUGAACAUUCAUGGGGGAUCAAUAUCAUGAGUUGUCCAGGAAGAAACAAUAAUAACAGAAGCUAAAAUAUAAACCGACACCCUGGGUUUAGAUUACUAGAUACACACACAAACACAUUUGUUGCCUCGAUUGUUUCCUCUCCACCGAUCAACCCACGUACGCAUGCACACAAGAUGAGUAUCUUCACUUCUGCUCUGCUCUAGUUAGACUCGAGCUGCGCGUACCACACACCCUGGAUCUUGACAUCCUUGGGCGCCUUGGCGCCGAGGUCGGUGUCUGACGGCUGCACGCUCUCGAAGACACCGAUCACCUCGCCGGUCUCCGGCUUGCUCUUGGUCACGCUGAGCGUGAUGUUGCCCGUGGACGAGGACGCGUUCUUCACGUUCUCCUUAGCCAACUCCUCCUCGUCUCCUCUGCCUCCGGCGGGUAGCGCCACGGCGUUGUCGUAGCCAGUAGAGCCACCACGGCCCUUUGGGUCGAGGAAAGACGAACCCCUGUAGCUGGGCACGAGGAAGGGCCCGCUGAAGCUCUCGGGCUUGCCGGUAGCGACGAGCUGCUUGACGGUGAAGAGGAAGGGCACUCGCUCGCCUCCGGGGAGCUGCACGGUGACGGCCGCGUAGUCGAUGCCGUCCUUCUCCUCGAACUUGAGGGUGCCGUCGGCGCCGACCUCGAGCGGGCCUUCCAUCUCGUCAAGGGUGUAGGUGAGACGGGUCAUGAGCUUGGUUUUCUGGAAGGCCGGCGGCUCGUUCUUCUGGAUGCCCUCGGCCUUGACGGUGAAGGAGGUGGGCUCCAGGCAGAACUUCUUCAUCUCGUACUUGCCGGCCUUGAAGGGGAAGGAGUCGACGCCGCCGUCGAUGGUCGGGCACUGGUUCGCGGUGCCGGUACCCUUCACCUCCAUGUAGGUCUUGCUCUGGAUCUCGUCGAAGGUCAGCCUCUU
RNAcentral lists this long non-coding RNA (14733 nucleotides) under Triticum aestivum (bread wheat). RNAcentral describes it as "long non-coding RNA (TAES_LNC020704)". Lineage: Eukaryota; Viridiplantae; Streptophyta; Magnoliopsida; Poales; Poaceae. The record is from RNAcentral.